CACUAAGUUUUUCCCCUGUCCCCCUCCCCACCCUACGUAAGGGGAGGAGGACAGAUCUGACUUUCCUUUCUUAUGUACGUAGUAUAGUAUAGAAAUAUAGAUGGAAGUUAUCCUCGCUGCAAGCAGCAGCAAAGAGGUGACCUCCUCUCUAACCACUGUAAGGGGAGGAGGACACACCUGACUUUUUUUUUCUCCAUAGUAAAUGAGGAUAGAAGUUAUCCUCGCUGCGAGCAGCAGCAAAGAGGUGACCUCCUCUCCAGCCACCAUAUGGGGAGGAGGACACACCUGACUUUUAUUUUUUCCAUAUUAAAUGAGGAUAGAAGUUAUCCUCGCUGCAAGCAGCAGCAAAGAGGUGUCCUCCUCCCCGACCACCAUAAGGGGAGCAGGACAGAUCUCGCUUUUCUUUUUUUUUUUCUCCACAGAAAAUGAGGAUAGAAAUUAUCCUCACUGCAAAGCAGCAACAACAAAGGGUGCGGAGGCCCCAACAGAGAUUACUCCGCUCCAUGGAGCCCUCCCUCAACCUUCACCAAGGUUGAGGCUGGAGACAAUCCAACCCCUCCAUCACGGAGGAGUUGGAACGGUGGAUGCGGAGACCUCAACUCCUCCGCUCCACCAAUCCUACUCUACCUUACCCUACUCUAACUUAACCUACUCUACAUUAUCCUACUCUACGUUAUCCUACUCUACGUUGUCCUACUCUACUCCAGAACCCCGCCAAAUUUAUGUCAGACUUAUCCUGUCCCCCUCCCCACCCCACAUAAGGGGAGGAGGACAGAUGGGAUUUUCCUCUCGUAUAUACACAGUAAAUGAGGAUAUUCUCCUCAAAUCUCUAAACCGUCCACAUAGACCUCAAACUUCCUCCAGCCAUCUCCAACAACACAAACCUGAUCCUAGCCGAAGACCUGCAGCAACGAUGGGUGCGGAGGCCCCGCCACAAACUCCGCUCCAGGCAAACCUCCAGGCCUCAACAAGGUGAGCACAAACAGAGAUGAUCCUCUCCCCCCACCCUCCCCGGUAAUGGGAAGUGCACAGAGUUAAUCUGAGCCUUCAUCUCCACACAGGUUGAGGCUGGAGACAAUCCAACCCCUCCAUCACGGAGGAGUUGGAACAACGGCGGCGGCCUCAACUACUCUGCUCCACCUACCCUUACCCUACCUUACCUUACCCCAGACCCCACUAAGUUUUUCCCCUGUCCCCCUCCCCACCCUACGUAAGGGGAGGAGGACAGAUCUGACUUUCCUUUCUUAUGUACGUAGUAUAGUAUAGAAAUAUAGAUGGAAGUUAUCCUCGCUGCAAGCAGCAGCAAAGAGGUGACCUCCUCUCUAACCACUGUAAGGGGAGGAGGACACACCUGACUUUUUUUUUUUAUUUCCUCCAUAAAUGAGGAUAGAAGUUAUCCUCGCUGCGAGCAGCAGCAAAGAGGUGACCUCCUCUC
RNAcentral lists this long non-coding RNA (1435 nucleotides) under Cyanistes caeruleus (blue tit). RNAcentral's name for it is "lncRNA (ENSCCEG00000019862.1)". Lineage: Eukaryota; Metazoa; Chordata; Aves; Passeriformes; Paridae. The record is from RNAcentral.